AUGUCCACUGCAAGUGACUGGCAGCAAGACCAUGAGGUAGGGAAGAAGAUCAAGAGUGAGUCGGCGGCGGAGGCGGACCGGAUGAUGGCGGCGGCACGGAGGAGUAGCAGCCUGCCUGCAGCAGGCGCAGGACCAGGAUCGACACCGUCGUUCAACACGAUGACCCCAUGUGCCGCAUGUAAGCUGCUCCGGCGGCGGUGCGCGCAGGAGUGCCCCUUCUCGCCAUUCUUCUCGCCGCUAGAGCCGCACAAGUUCGCCUCCGUUCACAAGGUCUUCGGCGCGAGCAACGUCUCCAAGAUGCUCCUGGAGGUGCACGAGAGCCAGCGCGGCGACGCGGCCAACAGCCUGGUGUACGAGGCGAACCUGCGGCUCCGCGAUCCCGUCUACGGCUGCAUGGGCGCCAUCCUCACCCUGCAGCAGCAGGUGCACGCCCUGGAGGCCGAGCUCGCCGCCGUCCGCGCCCAGAUCCUCAAGCACAGGUACCGCCCUGCCGCCGCCGCGGCGGCGUCCGCGGUGCCCAACGUGCCCCCGUCCUCGCACGCCUCACAGCUCCUCGCCGCCGGAGGCCACCGGCCGGCUGGGUCGCUGGGGCUGGCAGCGCCGGCGGUGGGGCCUGUGGCUUCCGCGUCGUCGUCAACCACGGUGUACGCCGCGGCGUCGAGCUCCACGGACUACAGCUCCAUCACGCAUGAGAAUGUUCCGUUUUUUGGUUGA
RNAcentral lists this ribosomal RNA (714 nucleotides) under Triticum aestivum (bread wheat). Its description in RNAcentral is "partial small subunit ribosomal RNA". The record is from RNAcentral. Lineage: Eukaryota; Viridiplantae; Streptophyta; Magnoliopsida; Poales; Poaceae.